GACGAACCGUGCGAACGUUGUUCGGAAUCACUGGGCUUAAAGGGCGCGUAGGCGGGUUCGCAAGUCUGUGGUGAAAGCCUCCAGCUUAACUGGAGAAGUGCCAUGGAUACUGCGCAUCUUGAGGAGGGUAGGGGCGUCUGGAACGGUUGGUGGAGCGGUGAAAUGCGUUGAUAUCGACCGGAACUCCGGUGGCGAAGGCGGCCUUCUGGACAGUGACUGACGCUGAGACGCGAAAGCGUGGGGAGCAAACAGG
This 253-nucleotide ribosomal RNA is filed under the name uncultured bacterium. Its description in RNAcentral is "partial 16S ribosomal RNA". It matches the Rfam family "Bacterial small subunit ribosomal RNA", at positions 524 to 776 of the family's 1533-position model. The record is from RNAcentral.